UUGAGCGUCAAACUUUUAAAUUGAAGAGUUUGAUCAUGGCUCAGAUUGAACGCUGGCGGCAGGCCUAACACAUGCAAGUCGAACGGUAACAGGAAGCAGCUUGCUGCUUCGCUGACGAGUGGCGGACGGGUGAGUAAUGUCUGGGAAACUGCCUGAUGGAGGGGGAUAA
RNAcentral lists this ribosomal RNA (169 nucleotides) under Escherichia coli. Its description in RNAcentral is "partial 16S ribosomal RNA". The stretch from base 18 to 169 matches the Rfam family "Bacterial small subunit ribosomal RNA", at positions 1 to 146 of the family's 1533-position model. The record is from RNAcentral. Lineage: Bacteria; Pseudomonadati; Pseudomonadota; Gammaproteobacteria; Enterobacterales; Enterobacteriaceae.